GCAGGUGUAGUACAACGGUUAGUAUAUGGCCUUGCCAAGGCUAAGAUGCCGGUUCGAUUCCGGUCACUUGCUCCA
RNAcentral lists this transfer RNA (75 nucleotides) under Firmicutes bacterium CAG:822. Its description in RNAcentral is "transfer RNA-Gly(GCC)". It matches the Rfam family "tRNA". Rfam says of the family: Transfer RNA (tRNA) molecules are approximately 80 nucleotides in length. Their secondary structure includes four short double-helical elements and three loops (D, anti-codon, and T loops). Further hydrogen bonds mediate the characteristic L-shaped molecular structure. tRNAs have two regions of fundamental functional importance: the anti-codon, which is responsible for specific mRNA codon recognition, and the 3' end, to which the tRNAs corresponding amino acid is attached (by aminoacyl-tRNA synthetases). tRNAs cope with the degeneracy of the genetic code in two manners: having more than one tRNA (with a specific anti-codon) for a particular amino acid; and 'wobble' base-pairing, i.e. permitting non-standard base-pairing at the 3rd anti-codon position. The record is from RNAcentral. RNAcentral also lists the same sequence under 3 other names. Lineage: Bacteria; Bacillati; Bacillota.